CCAGUGACUUUGUUCAACGGCCGCGGUAUCCUAACCGUGCGAAGGUAGCGUAAUCACUUGUUCUUUAAAUGAGGACUAGUAUGAAUGGCACCACGAAGGUUAUACUGUCUCCUUUCUUUAAUCAGUGAAACUAAUCUCCCCGUGAAGAAGCGGGGAUGUAGUUAUAAGACGAGAAGACCCUAUGGAGCUUUAAACAUAAGUAACAAUUGCCCACCACAACAUCUAAUCCACGGAUAUUAACCACAACAUUUAGGCAUCUUGAUUACAAGUUUUAGGUUGGGGUGACCGCGGAGCAAAAAAUAACCUCCGCAGUGAAUGGAACUUAUUUCCUAAACCCAGGGCUACGACCCUAAGAAUCAAUAAAUUGACACCAAUUGACCCAAUAUUUUGAUCAAUGAACCAAGUUACCCUAGGGAUAACAGCGCAAUCCACUUCAAGAGCCCCUAUCGACAAGUGGGUUUACGACCUCGAUGUUGGAUCAGGGUAUCCCAGUGGUGCAGCCGCUACUAAAGGUUCGUUUGUUCAACGAUUAAAACCCUACGUGAUCU
RNAcentral lists this ribosomal RNA (548 nucleotides) under Leptodactylus latrans (criolla frog). RNAcentral describes it as "partial 16S ribosomal RNA". It matches the Rfam family "Bacterial large subunit ribosomal RNA", at positions 1863 to 2606 of the family's 2925-position model. The record is from RNAcentral. Lineage: Eukaryota; Metazoa; Chordata; Amphibia; Anura; Leptodactylidae.